GCUGAUUGAAACAAAAACACUUGGCAAUAAAAGAACAAAAACUGACAUUGGGCAUCUGAUUUUUCUGCUAUCCAAAACCAUUAGCAGAAAAAAACAUUUUUUCACUCAUUCUAAAAAAAGAUCUCAGCCUUGCCUUGCUUCAUGACACGACUGCCUUACCAUGUGCUGCAAGGAGAUGAAACCUAGCAGACCAACAAAAGGUCAACUGAUGCAAAAACAGGUUUGCUUGGCAUUUGGCAAGAUAGCAAGUGCUGUUUAAAAGUCACAAUAGCAGUUUCUAACAGCAGAAUUGAAAGAGAAAAACUGUCAAAAUUCAUGACCACAACAAGCAACAUAGCACUGCAGCAGAUUUUUUUUUUGAUUCACCUCACCUUGCUUGUGCAUUUUCUGCCAAAACCUCAUCCAUUCCAAACCCCUGCACCUACUCCCUCAUUUUUUGGCCUUGGCAUAUCACUCUUUCUGUCCAAAACAAGUGGACCAAAAAAACCUAACUUGCUGGUAUUGCAUUCCUAUUUCUUCCUGUCCAACUCAGAACAUUGCCUUGCCAACCAUGACAGUUUGGUUCACCUCUAUUUUGCAUCACUUCUAAACUUUGCCAACAUAACUAAACCUAACCUGCCUUGCAUUUUCUAAAAGCUGUCCAAGCACAAGUGGACCAAACAUCAUCAAACCAACAUGACCUAACCUCAUUCAUACAGGCUCAUCCCACUUGCAUUAACCAACAAAAUCUAACCAAUUUCCUACAAUCUCUAAAACCACCUAACUGCGUUUUGGCCAUUUCUUCACAAACCUGUCCCAAAAGCUCAAUGAGCAAAAAGCUUGGCCAUGCCUAGUUUCAUAUCCCAUUUGCAUUUACCAAAACCACCAACCAAACCAGAAAAUCUCAUUGAUACACAUACAUAUCCUUGGCCUUUUCUUNNN
Molecule: long non-coding RNA, 921 nt
Filed under: Lathyrus oleraceus (garden pea)
Lineage: Eukaryota; Viridiplantae; Streptophyta; Magnoliopsida; Fabales; Fabaceae
Description: Pisum sativum (pea) long non-coding RNA (PSAT_LNC024949)
Source: RNAcentral